This 267-nucleotide long non-coding RNA is filed under the name Ananas comosus (pineapple). RNAcentral describes it as "long non-coding RNA (ACOM_LNC042878)". Lineage: Eukaryota; Viridiplantae; Streptophyta; Magnoliopsida; Poales; Bromeliaceae. The record is from RNAcentral.
AGUACGCUAAGUUACAAGAACUACUCCUAAGAAAGCAAAAAAUUCGAGAAAGAAAGAUGUAGGAAAAUAAAGGUGGUUUUUUGUGCGCAGGGGCGAAGACCUAUUUUUUGGGUAUUAUUGCCUUAUUUAUAGAUAGACCUCCUCGGUCAGUUAUUGUUCUUACAUGAUCGGCCACUAUUUCCUCAUAUUCCGGACCACUUCUAGCCGAUCGGAACCGUAUGUAACUGCUUGCGGUUACCGUAACUUCCUUCAAUUGGUGCGCUACAU